AGGGAAUCUUCCACAAUGGACGCAAGUCUGAUGGAGCAACGCCGCGUGAGUGAAGAAGGUUUUCGGAUCGUAAAGCUCUGUUGUUGGUGAAGAAGGAUAGAGGCAGUAACUGGUCUUUAUUUGACGGUAAUCAACCAGAAAGUCACGGCUAACUACGUGCCAGCAGCCGCGGUAAUACGUAGGUGGCAAGCGUUGUCCGGAUUUAUUGGGCGUAAAGCGAGCGCAGGCGGAAUGAUAAGUCUGAUGUGAAAGCCCACGGCUCAACCGUGGAACUGCAUCGGAAACUGUCAUUCUUGAGUGCAGAAGAGGAGAGUGGAACUCCAUGUGUAGCGGUGGAAUGCGUAGAUAUAUGGAAGAACACCAGUGGCGAAGGCGGCUCUCUGGUCUGCAACUGACGCUGAGGCUCGAAAGCAUGGGUAGCGAACAGGAUUAG
RNAcentral lists this ribosomal RNA (433 nucleotides) under uncultured bacterium. Its description in RNAcentral is "partial 16S ribosomal RNA". It matches the Rfam family "Bacterial small subunit ribosomal RNA", at positions 356 to 781 of the family's 1533-position model. The record is from RNAcentral.